This 553-nucleotide ribosomal RNA is filed under the name uncultured bacterium. RNAcentral's name for it is "partial 16S ribosomal RNA". It matches the Rfam family "Bacterial small subunit ribosomal RNA", at positions 355 to 898 of the family's 1533-position model. The record is from RNAcentral.
UGGGGAAUAUUGCACAAUGGGCGCAAGCCUGAUGCAGCCAUGCCGCGUGUGUGAAGAAGGCCUUCGGGUUGUAAAGCACUUUCAGCGAGGAGGAAGGCGUUAAGGUUAAUAACCUUGGCGAUUGACGUUACUCGCAGAAGAAGCACCGGCUAACUCCGUGCCAGCAGCCGCGGUAAUACGGAGGGUGCAAGCGUUAAUCGGAAUUACUGGGCGUAAAGCGCACGCAGGCGGUUUGUUAAGUCAGAUGUGAAAUCCCCGAGCUUAACUUGGGAACUGCAUUUGAAACUGGCAAGCUAGAGUCUUGUAGAGGGGGGUAGAAUUCCAGGUGUAGCGGUGAAAUGCGUAGAGAUCUGGAGGAAUACCGGUGGCGAAGGCGGCCCCCCUGGACAAAGACUGACGCUCAGGUGCGAAAGCGUGGGGCAGCAAACAGGAUUAGAUACCCUGGUAGUCCACGCUGUAAACGAUGUCGAUUUGGAGGUUGUGGGCUUGACCCGUGGCUUCCGGAGCUAACGCGUUAAAUCGACCGCCUGGGGAGUACGGCCGCAAGGUUAAA